This 266-nucleotide ribosomal RNA is filed under the name uncultured bacterium. Its description in RNAcentral is "partial 16S ribosomal RNA". It matches the Rfam family "Bacterial small subunit ribosomal RNA", at positions 793 to 1055 of the family's 1533-position model. The record is from RNAcentral.
GUCCACGCCGUAAACGAUGGGCACUAGGUGUAGGAGGUAUUGACCCCUUCUGUGCCGAAGCUAACGCAUUAAGUGCCCCGCCUGGGGAGUACGGCCGCAAGGCUAAAACUCAAAGGAAUUGACGGGGGCCCGCACAAGCGGUGGAGCAUGUGGUUUAAUUCGACGCAACGCGAAGAACCUUACCUGGACUUGACAUGCCCUGGAAUCCCCCGGAAAUGGGGGAGUACCCGCAAGGGACCGGGACACAGGUGCUGCAUGGCUGUCGU